Molecule: ribosomal RNA, 503 nt
Filed under: uncultured bacterium
Lineage: Bacteria
Description: bacterial SSU rRNA
Rfam family: Bacterial small subunit ribosomal RNA
Source: RNAcentral
AGCGAACGCUGGCGGCAGGCCUAACACAUGCAAGUCGAGCGCGAAAAUUCCUUCGGGGAUGAGUAGAGCGGCGGACGGGUGAGUAACGCGUAGGAAUCUGCCCGGUAGUGGGGGACAACAGUCGGAAACGACUGCUAAUACCGCAUACGCCCUAAGGGGGAAAGCAGGGGAUCUUCGGACCUUGCGCUAUCGGAUGAGCCUGCGUCGGAUUAGCUUGUUGGUGGGGUAAUGGCCUACCAAGGCGACGAUCCGUAGCUGGUCUGAGAGGAUGAUCAGCCACACUGGGACUGAGACACGGCCCAGACUCCUACGGGAGGCAGCAGUGGGGAAUAUUGGACAAUGGGGGGAACCCUGAUCCAGCAAUGCCGCGUGUGUGAAGAAGGCCUGCGGGUUGUAAAGCACUUUAGUUAGGGAGGAGUGUUUGAAGGUUAAGAGCUAUCAAGCAGGACGUUACCUAAAGAAUAAGCACCGGCUAACUCCGUGCCAGCAGCCGCGGUAAAGUG